Molecule: long non-coding RNA, 1356 nt
Organism: Sinocyclocheilus grahami
Lineage: Eukaryota; Metazoa; Chordata; Actinopteri; Cypriniformes; Cyprinidae
Exons: 2
Source: RefSeq, a predicted model, not a curated record
UCUUCCCUUUCUUUUUUAGAAAAAGCUGACAACUUUGGAUAUCGCUGCGAACAGGAUAAAAAAGAUUGAAAAUAUCAGCCAUUUGACUGAAUUAAAAGAAUUUUGGAUGAAUGACAACCAAAUUGAAAACUGGGCAGACUUGGACGAACUCAAAAACGCCAAAGGUCUAGAGACUGUCUAUCUGGAGAGAAACCCUUUGCAGAAGGACCCUCAAUACAGACGCAAGAUCAUGUUGGCUCUUCCCAGUGUCAGGCAGAUAGAUGCCACCUUCAUCCGUUUCUGAUCAUCCACCUCAUUGUGCCCUCCCUCACCCAAACCACCCACAGCAUAUUAUAAACGCACCACUACCAUAUUACCCUCAUGCACCUCAUGGACACUGUAUGCCCUGUUUAUCUCUUUUAUUAACUUUUUAACAACAAAAAAGAAGAAUCUCCCACUCCCAGUGUUGCCAUUCCACGUGCUGGCACCUUUUACUCACACAGAGACUAUGACUUGCGCUAUAGUGUGAAUGCUUGUUAAUUUAUUUUCAGUUUGAACUCAAAGGAGCUGGCGCCUGUUGUUCGGAAUAUAUAUCCGCGCUAAAUCUUACUGCCCUUAGCAUUUUGAUUAGGAAAUCAUUUCAUCAUAGUUAUCCCUUCUCUCUUCCAUCAAUUGAAAAUCAGAAAUUUCCACCCUGUAUGAUUUACAUCAGGCUUAUUUACUAUACGAGGUGGUAAAAAGGUCAGAAUUCACAUUGCAUUCAGGUACUAAAGAUGGCUAUGAGGAGCUCUUAUUCUUUGAUGUGAUCAGGGACUGUCUGCGUUAGUGUUAUGCUCUUAUGGAUUCUGUUUGCAUAUCAGUUCUGUUUGUGGCAGUAUGGCUGGUUGAAAUGACAUGACGCAUAUUGUUCACUCUUCAUUAAUACUGAAUAUUAUUAGAGGUUAAUUCCAUUAUAAACUAAGGUUAUGCCACACAAUCUUAAGUGAUUUUAGGGAUUCAAAAGAGCAAGGUGAUGGCAGGUGAUUAGUAUUUUUUUUAAUUACUUUUUUGUGAAAAAUUAAAUAUCACAUGCGCUCAAAAUAUUCACACAGAAACACCUCUUAUUAUAGUAUGAUCUGCGGAGUUGUUUUAUUCCCCCGCAAUAGGAGGUGAAUGGAAGAGGCCACAGUGUGGUGACUGUGUUUGGCCACUCCCAUUUGCCAUGAGAGAGGGGGGUCGGAGGGGUUUCUUUAUGGAAUGAACCCAGCCCCUUUAAAAAGGUUAAAAAACAACUGAAUAGGAUUGCUUUUAAUUUGCUUGAAUUUUCACUUUGUUUUACAAGCUUGGUUGACUGUUUCAGAAUUGAAUGUAUUAUAAAUAAACUGAAUUUGAACAAUG